RNAcentral lists this ribosomal RNA (575 nucleotides) under Rhodotorula sp. IGC 4724. RNAcentral describes it as "eukaryotic LSU rRNA". It matches the Rfam family "Eukaryotic large subunit ribosomal RNA", at positions 62 to 648 of the family's 3401-position model. Lineage: Eukaryota; Fungi; Basidiomycota; Microbotryomycetes; Sporidiobolales; Sporidiobolaceae. The record is from RNAcentral. RNAcentral also lists the same sequence under 1 other name.
AAACUAACAAGGAUUCCCCUAGUAGCGGCGAGCGAAGCGGGAAGAGCUCAAAUUUAUAAUCUGGCACCUUCGGUGUCCGAGUUGUAAUCUCUAGAAGUGUUUUCCGCGUUGGACCGCACACAAGUCUGUUGGAAUACAGCGGCACAGUGGUGAUACCCCCGUACACGGUGCGGACGCCCAGCGCUUUGUGAUACACUUUCAAUGAGUCGAGUUGUUUGGGAAUGCAGCUCAAAUUGGGUGGUAAAUUCCAUCUAAAGCUAAAUAUUGGCGAGAGACCGAUAGCGAACAAGUACCGUGAGGGAAAGAUGAAAAGCACUUUGGAAAGAGAGUUAACAGUACGUGAAAUUGUUGGAAGGGAAACGCUUGAAGUCAAACUUGCUUGCCGGAGCUUGCUUCGGUUUGCAGGCCAGCAUCAGUUUUCUGGGGUGGAUAAUGGCGGUUUGAAGGUAGCAGUCUCGUGCUGUGUUAUAGCUUUCCGCUGGAUACAUCCUGGGGGACUGAGGAACGCAGCGUGCUUUUAGCGAAGGUUUCGACCUUUUCACGCUUAGGAUGCUGGUGUAAUGACUUUAAACGAC